GGGACUGAAAGUUUGUUCAUAAUCAAUUCCUCUUCGUUGCCUUAUUUUACUAGGAGUCGUGCUUUAUACUUUUUAAUUGCCCCUUAGAUCAGGAUUCUGUAAACCCACUUGAAAGGUAGUCCGUACAACGUCUACACGCCUUUUUCUGUAAGUGACUUUAAUUCACGAUUCAUCGUUGCACUUUGCCAGUUCUUGUGAUUUUCUCUCUUCAUUGCUUCCUGGAACGUACCUAUUUGGGAAGGCUGAGCUUACAAGGCAAACAUACCCGUUAUUCUUCUUGAGGUACGUAAUCACUUCUCUGCUUCUGAGCUUGUGCCUCGGGUCUUCAACACGUGAACGUCGACUCGUUUCUCAGGCACUUCGACAACAGGUGAAUCCACUUCAUGAUCGUGAUCUUCAUUUUCAACAAGUGUAGGAUGUUCAUCAGGAGCUGGCUGAAACACUGCCUCUCCCUCUAGAGCUUGAUUAGGAACACUAUCCUCUGAGUGUAGGUACAUUCGGGUUGAUUUACAAUUGGAUUCACUCCUACCUUUUUUUUUCAUUCCAUUGAUUUGGCAUCCUCGUUGAAAUGUUAAAUUCAACAUCUGUUUCCGAUAACCAUCGUCAUUUUUAUAUCCAACCAGCUUGCCCCAUAACAGCUUUUCCACGCUUUUGAUUUGGAAUGUGAGUGUCGCAUUCACUUUCAAUUAUUCGUAGGUGUUAGAUCUUGGGCCAUUGUUCUCAGUUUCACCGGUGCAAUUUAGGGCAUUCGCGGCUGUAUUUAAAUUCUUAAAAAUUCCCAUUCUUCUCAUUUAUGAUUCUUCACAAUGUCCGUACCUUUCCCUUUAGUAGGAACUGUCGUGCCUUCUACUGUCUUAACCUUGUGACUUGAAUCAAAUUCAUGAAACACGUUACUUGUGAUAGCAAUUGUCGACGUACCAAUUUUCCUUGGUCUUUUUAGACUCAUAGAGCAAAACAUUUACCAUUAACGUAAUAUUCUGAACUUGAUUCCGAUCUUAGAGCCAUAGUAGCACUCUCCCUUUUUCUUUGCUUUUGGCAUAACUUCUUUUUUCUGACUAGGAACUCUUGAUUUGCACUCGUACCUAUAUACUUGUCCUCCAGUGCAUCUAGGAUUGUGCAGAUUAGGAACAGCUAUCUAUAUGCAAUUCCUGCCAGACUUCACACUCUCUCUGUCUCAGAUCAUUACCCUUUUUAAUUAUCUUCUGUCAUGUUCCUUGUGAAAAUGAGCAGAGCGCUACUUUCAGACUUCUUGUGCUUGGCUAAUCGCAAAGUAUAAUCACCGAUGGAUUUAUCUUCAAUUGGCUUCUUCAGCUUACCUUCGACGUCCCCCAUGGCACCUUCCGUAUCACGUAGUGUUAUAGCUUCUAUUUACCAGUUUCCGAUUUGAAGUUUUGUCGAAAAUCCUUCCAUCUUGAACCUGUUACGUACCUUACGACUUCUCCAGUCCUGGGCCUAAUAAUUUAAUAUCCAGGGUUGUAGCCCCCAUAGUCUCCCCCUUAAUCCAACGCCGCCGACGACCUCUGCGAUGGAUCAGAUCGAAUUCAAGCCUGCCUUCGACCCAGUUCAACGAUUAUAAUGGACUUGGUUCACGCAAACGAGUUAUUGGUAAUGGCGUUCGAGGAGAAUGCACACCAGUAGCCCGUGGUGAUCGUGAACUCAUGGUGAUGGUGCUUCUUCCUAAGCAAAAGUGGAUUAACAUAAGGCUAAAGAUUUUUGAUGAGCGGCCUUAUAAAGGUAGGAUUUUUCUUUUCUAUGCAUGGUUGCAUUAUUUUGCAACAGUGGGGGAAAGUGAAGUGUAUAGUGCGACUAAAAGUGAUCUUUAAUGACUUGUGGAAACCGGCUCAGUUUUUCAACUGGGUUGAUUCUUCCUAAGGUCUCUCUCUCGGCAUCAAUCAGUUUGCUUUGUGUCGAUCGGCAUGACUAUGACUUCAUAGCCAUGCCGAUUUUACGAAGCGAAGUGAUUUUUCUGCGAAUCUCACUGUGAUAAAAGAAUGAGGUCAACUCUUUUAUUUCUAAGAUGAGAUCGAUGGCUUUUAACGUUUUUAAGUUUCUAUCACUAAUGAUGAAUAAACGAAUACGCUUUAUAGCAUCUUUCAGGAGCAAUCUCCUACUAAUCUUCUCAUUGUUCUCAGAACUACUGGCAGGCUUACUGUAAGACAUGGCACGCGAACUGCAUCUCUACUGGUUAGGAGAUCUCUUCCUACUUGAUCGUGUUUAAACAAAGUUAAGUACACCACUGUCUCGAUCUACGUGAAAAUUUUGUCUGGAGCACUGAAUGUGCACUGACCACAAAUUUAAAGUACGUAAAUUGGUAACUUUUUACAUUUUUGGGAUCCAUAAAAUUUGUUUUGAAGAUUAUUCAGUGCUCCAGAAAAAAUGUUCCCCCUGCUCCAUCUGUCCAUAACUUUGCGCCUUCGUCAACUAGUUUCUAUUAACAGCAUCUGUAGAGAUAGCUCGACCUUUCUAAGACUUGCGGUAAAGAAUUAAUUUGGUCCCAUAGUGUUCAUUCUCCCUCUUGUCUUCUCAAAAGGAUUCAAUGCAGGAAACUUCUUCUUUAAUGAAUGCCAUGCGGCAUUUUAACGGUAAUUUAUUGAAUUGUAACAGUUAAGUGCGUAUACAGGGUGAACAAGUUAGCAAUCGCGUUAAAGGGGGCAAAAUAAGUACUUUCGUCUAAUACACCAUAUAUGUCGUCAGCGCUUUUGUAAGGAACUGGGUAUCCUGGUCAUUGACGCUUGCCCGUCCAGUAGUCUCGUAUAGUCCACAGGGUGGGACGAGAAGUAAAUGUGGGGGAGGCGCGGGUGAAAAAGUUCUGAUGGCUAAACAUAUUCUAUACUCCUCAGACUUCUGGGUACUGCGGGAAUGAGAUCGGUAAUUAGAAUGAGAAGGGGAAUGGGAAUGAAAAUCCUUGGUACACAUUUUAUUUGAGAUAGCGUGGUACGGGGUUGUGUGGCGGGUGUGGAAUAUCCCUCAGUAUACAGUGGUUCGUGGUAACCUCCCCAAAUUCACGUAAGCACCCCUGUUUUCGAAUCUCUACUCUUAAGGCUUCACAGUCCCAAACAGACCGACGUACAUAAAGAAUGAAUUUAUGAAUAAGUUCCAACCGGCCAG
This is a long non-coding RNA of Photinus pyralis (common eastern firefly), 3108 nucleotides long. RefSeq lists it as uncharacterized. NCBI's taxonomy places the organism in Eukaryota, Metazoa, Arthropoda, Insecta, Coleoptera, Lampyridae. The record is from RefSeq and is a predicted model, not a curated record. The transcript has 3 exons.